ACCUCAAGAUGAAGUCUUCAAGAUUACUCACACGAGGAAGGCGAAGAACGCCGAUGGUACGGACCAAUGGAUUGAGAGACGACGUAGGUCACAAGACAACGUAGUUCAUGCUCUUGUUUAUGAGGAUAGUGGGAAGGAAUCGGAUCAUGUCUCUAACACCCAACAAAGUAGUUUAUGGUUGUUUAACUUUACGAUGUUUAAGUGUUUGAAUGUAGUUUUAAGGAUAUUUAGAAGUACUUUAAAUUGAAACUUGAGGUUGAAUUUGAUUUUAGAAUGUGAAGUUUAUGAUUGUAGAAGUACUUUGAUGAAUUGGACGUGUUGAUGAAUUGCAUUGUUGAUUUGGUUGA
Long non-coding RNA from Lycium ferocissimum, 347 nucleotides. RefSeq lists it as uncharacterized. Lineage: Eukaryota; Viridiplantae; Streptophyta; Magnoliopsida; Solanales; Solanaceae. The record is from RefSeq and is a predicted model, not a curated record. The transcript is spliced from 2 exons.